Molecule: long non-coding RNA, 3241 nt
Organism: Haemorhous mexicanus (house finch)
Lineage: Eukaryota; Metazoa; Chordata; Aves; Passeriformes; Fringillidae
Exons: 4
Source: RefSeq, a predicted model, not a curated record
GUGAGAUUCCAGGAAUCCAGCUCAUUUCCAUUAUCUUGUUCUUUCUUAUAUAAGGAAAACGAAAGAAUUGAGAAAAUUUGCCUCUCCUGCCAACUUACCCGCCCUGUCCCUGAAGUUUCCCAGCACCGCGCUUGCACUGGAUGUCAGGCUCAGCCUCUCCCUUCCCCGCUGCCCCAUGCAAGGGCUGUUCAGGGCCGGCUGGAGCCCCGGCGGAGCCCGGCAGCCGCCCGGGCCCCGCUGGCACCGGAGCGCGGCCGCCGCUGCCCGGGGCCGGCAGACAAAGGGAGCCGCAUCUGAGCCCUGCCGAGGCUGCGCUUGCCGGAAGAAACCUAACAAUUCUUAUUUACCAAAUUGACAAAAUCCUAUCAUUGCAAUUAAGGGGAUAUGUAAUUAACUGUGUCUUAAUUACAGCAGCUGCCACUUCAUCUGAAUGCAGCAAUUUGCGGAGAAACCGGGGGAGAUGCUUUAAAUUCGUGUGUGUAAACAGCGGGAGCGCAAACAGAGCGGCGUGCGCGGCUCCCGAGGGCGCGGUGCCUGUCCCGGGGGCACGGGCGAAGGCAGAGGCUCCCCAGAAGGCAGAGGCUGCCAGCCUACCUGGCCCUGGUGGCCUCUGGAAAUCCCUCGGGAGCUUCAGGAAGCCCUGCCGCAAACCCAUCGGCCCGGACUCGCACCUCGAGCUGCAGGGCUGAGCCCAGCGCCGCAAAGCCUCCUGGCAGAGGAAGGUUUUGAAGAGCCUCUCCUGACUCCCGGCCUCCGUGGGAGCAGCAGCCCCCGGUGCUUGUGCUGGGUGCACCGGGCGAGGUGAAUUUCGCUUGUUCUCUCGCCGUGCACUUUCCUGGCUUCAUCGCUGUGGGCCGGCAGGAGCACCCCUGCCAGCCCGCGUCCUCUCUGCUGCUCAGACCCCAUCCGGCUCCCGCAGGUCUGAGUGCUGUUCUAAAAGCCUCUGCAUCCUUUGCUGCUGCAGGGUCCCGUGGGUCACUUCCUGGGAGCUGCUGUGGACUUCCCAGUGUGCCAGAGUUCUCCCUGCUGGAGGUCAGGGUGUUUGUGGGUUCACUUGGGUCUCACAAACCACUUGGGUUUUGCCACCUCUCCAGCCCACCUCAGUGGUUACCAGCUCCUGCUUCCUGCCUGUAAGCCGAGCUUGGUGACUGGCUGCCGUGGCUUAGCGUGGUGAGCUGUGACAGUGGAUGUGGUUUUGGAUGUGGAGAUGCAGCAUGGAUUUCCCUGCACUUCCCAGGUAAGAGCCACUGGCACUCAGGAGGUAGGAAGAGGGUGGUGCCCUGCUGGGAUUGCUUCCCAGCUCUGCUCCCCAGAUGUGACUGCUCCUGGGGAUCAGGAGGAGAGGCCAUGGUAUCCCUCUGUGCCUCCGUUUACUCGUGUCAGCACAGAGCAUCUGUGCCUCAGGUACGGCUCACAAAUACUGAGCCAAGCCCAGAAGCAUUGAUUGCUGAGCUACAGCUUGAAAAGAGCCUUCCUUGCACACCCCCUCUGCCACUGCUAAUCAAUAGGACUGAUGUGACAAAGGCUGAGGACUGCGCCCGCUCAGCUUGGCAGACAUCAUUGGGGCUUCAUAAUUCAGCUGCAUUGAUUUGUCCUGUAUAUUCCACAUGUGAAAUACAGCUUCUCUCCAUGUGCUGUCAAGGCAGCACAGGAAGGACAUCCUGCUUGGUGCUAGCAACAUCCCUCUGGUUUCCUAACUGAAACCUAAACUCUUGUCUUAGUGUUCCAGUAAUGGGCAUCAUCACAGAGACGGGAUUAUUAAUACAUGCAUCAAGAAUUUGAAAACUCGGGAUGACAUCCUGUCACUAUUUAAAUGAUGGCACAACCUCCAUGGCUGCUGGUGUAACCAGGAUUUCACCAGCUGGUGCUACUCAGCUGUCACAAACUCUCUUCACAUUGCUCUGGGGGCCUUUGUGUUGCAGUCAAUGGCACUUGGAGAAAAACACAGUUAAACUUGUUAAAACUUGUCCAUGUUAAUCUCUUAAAAACCACUUAGUCAUUUUAGAUUUCCAUGCUGAAUCAGGCUUCAUGGAAACCUACUAAUGUUCCUCUUUCUGUCUUCUUUGGGAUGGAGCACACACAUGGCGUUUUUAAUACCAGUGACAUUUGCACGGACAAGCCGCCUUUGUUUCAUCACCAUUCACAUUUUGCUGCCCACCUUUGGAAAGGGCUUUUAUUUAACCUUGUUUCAUGUGGAAACAAGGCCAAGACAAUAAUCCUGUUAGCUCCCUCCAGGGGAAUCCCGAACUUUCUGCCCCGUUUUGAGGAAGAUGAUGUUCUCAAAGAUGUACAGUUUGGUUCCUUUGGCUGAAUGUGCACCUGAGAAGAAAACAGAAACCCAGACCUGCAGGACCUCAGGAGCAGCAUUAGCAGGUGCCAUGAAGGAAAGAAGAUUUACAAGCACUGAAGCAACAGAUAUUUGCCUUCUGCAGCACAAAAUGGAGAAAUUGCUAAAGGGAGCACAUCAGACACCAGAUUCUCACCAACUUGGUCUUAACUUCUGAGAAGCUGCUUCAAACAGCGGACUCAACACAAUGAUGAAAUACUCAGAGCAGACACUGACUGGUUCUGGAAGCAGAGCGGGAGUGCAUUGCCUGAAGGCUGAGUUGAAUUGUAACACAGCGCGAUCUUGCCAGGAUGGCUAGGUAAAGCAUCCCACACAACAUCCUCAUUUCUUGAACUUUUAUCACUAAGAAAUCAUCAUUUUGAAGCUGAUGGGCAUUUACAUCCCAGGUGGCUGGCAUCUCUUUGUGAAUUUUUUAUUUUACUUUGCUAGAAUAGCAAAGGUAUCUCUUUGUGAAUUUUUUAUUUUACUUUGCUAGAACAUCAAGAGCCUGGUCUGGAGCAAUUUCAUGCUCCGCAGGUAGGGCCAGACUCUGUAGGAUCUGUAUUGUUACAAGCUCAAAGCAUCCGCAGUGAAGGCUUCUGCCCUCUAAUCUUUGUGCGCCCAAAGCAUUUUUCAUCCAUCCCUGACCUCUGUAUCUCUCGCUUUUGCAGGCAAUCUGUUGUCCUCCCUUGCAAAACCUUCCCUGUCUCUGUCUCCCAGUGAUGUGCGGCUGAUUCCCACAGCAGAGGAUGGAAAGUCUUGUGUGCCUGCUUCCCCUCUCCGCUGCAUCCGUCACCCUGCACGGGCGUUGCUGGGUCCCUGUGCUGGGGAGCAGCAUGGGCGUGGCUCAUGCAACAGCACUUCCCACCUCUUCCACCUAGACUGACAUUUAAUAAAUGUCUUGUAAACCUCUGA